UUUGGACAAUGGGCGCAAGCCUGAUCCAGCAGUGCCGCGUGCAGGAUGAAGGCCUUCGGGUUGUAAACUGCUUUUGUACGGAACGAAAAAGCUCUCUCUAAUACAGGGGGUGAAUGACGGUACCGUAAGAAUAAGCACCGGCUAACUACGUGCCAGCAGCCGCGGUAAUACGUAGGGUGCAAGCGUUAAUCGGAAUUACUGGGCGUAAAGCGUGCGCAGGCGGUUUUGUAAGACAGAGGUGAAAUCCCCGGGCUCAACCUGGGAACUGCCUUUGUGACUGCAAAGCUGGAGUGCGGCAGAGGGGGAUGGAACUCCGCGUGUAGCAGUGAAAUGCGUAGAUAUGCGGAGGAACACCGAUGGCGAAGGCAAUCCCCUGGGCCUGCACUGACGCUCAUGCACAAAAGCGUGGGGAGCAAACA
This 419-nucleotide ribosomal RNA is filed under the name uncultured bacterium. Its description in RNAcentral is "bacterial SSU rRNA". It matches the Rfam family "Bacterial small subunit ribosomal RNA", at positions 363 to 774 of the family's 1533-position model. The record is from RNAcentral.